RNAcentral lists this transfer RNA (90 nucleotides) under Paracoccaceae bacterium. RNAcentral's name for it is "tRNA-Ser". It matches the Rfam family "tRNA". From Rfam's summary of the family: Transfer RNA (tRNA) molecules are approximately 80 nucleotides in length. RNAcentral also lists the same sequence under 2 other names. Lineage: Bacteria; Pseudomonadati; Pseudomonadota; Alphaproteobacteria; Rhodobacterales; Paracoccaceae. The record is from RNAcentral.
GGAGAUGUGGCCGAGUGGUCGAAGGCGCUCCCCUGCUAAGGGAGUAGGCCCGGAAGGGUCUCGAGGGUUCGAAUCCCUUCGUCUCUGCCA